This 17588-nucleotide long non-coding RNA is filed under the name Coffea arabica (coffee). RNAcentral describes it as "long non-coding RNA (CARA_LNC005494)". The record is from RNAcentral. Lineage: Eukaryota; Viridiplantae; Streptophyta; Magnoliopsida; Gentianales; Rubiaceae.
GGGAAGGGGAAAAUCAGAAAAUUGGGGACGCAUUUGUUUCUUGGGAAAAAGUUGCUUGUUUUUGUGGCUUGAUUCUGUCCAGAGUUGGCUGUUUUCUGCAGCUGUGAAGAAAGCUUUUUGAGGAGAAACGAUUUCAGGAAAGUAUUAUUUCUCUUCUCCUUUCUAUUUUUUGUUUCCUUUCCCUGGAGAUGAGAUUCUUCAAAUCCCGUGCUUUCUUGCUAUGCAUAUUUGCUUUCAAUAUCCAUUAUUUGCUUUCAAUUUUGACCUAAUGGCAAAAUUUCAGCGAAUUUGUCCGAUUCAUGUCUUUGCUUUCAGUGGGUUUAGACCUAGUUAUAUUGAAUUUUGCUUCCAAUUUAGUACCGAUGGUGUAGAUUCCCUUUUUUUUUUUUUUUUUAAAUUUGUUUGAACACUCAUAAUUAAUGUGUCUACUUUUUACAUGUUAGAAACUGAAGGUCUUAGAGUGUUGAUGCAUAUUGAAAUUUAAAAAAAAAGAGAAAUAAGACGAAAUUAGUUAGCAGUUGUUUCUCCAUGGUUGUUUCAAGCACUUUUGUACCCCUACAAAGAUUUCAUAUCCAUAUCAGUAGGCCAAGAAUUCACAAAGCGGUAUACGAAGGCUGUGAGUUGACCUAUGUAGUCCCUUAAUCCUCGAAACAUGUAUGAAUGAAUUCCUGAGAUUAAAACAACAUCAAACUCAAAUUUGCAUUCUUGAUUCUUCGAAUUUAAAUUUUGGCUCUAUUGAAAGCCCUUCAGUUUAUUACUAUCCGUUGCACCUUCUUAAGUGCAAAAGGAGCCAAUUGUGCAUGCUUAUCUCCUUUUUUCUGAAAAUUGAAAUCUAGUGAUUUUUUAGGCCCACACUACUAUAGGCAUCACCCACUUAAUUCCAGUAAUUUCAUUAGUCUAUAUCAACAAUCUGCGGCCAUCUCCCAAUUAGAUUUUAAAUUGUCUAGUGUGAUUUUGUGUUGUCUUCGUUGGGUUUCAGCCUUUAAUGUUAUGUGGCAUAAUUCAAAAACAUAAACUGAUCUCAUGGACUUAUUGUUCACUUUGUUUCAUAUUUCAGUGUCAAAAUGACUAAAAUCAAUACAAGUAUUAAUCAAAGAAUUUAAAGCAGGCUGCAUGUAAUUUUUUACUAACCAUUUUGGACUCAGAUAGUGUAGUCGCUUGACUCAAAGCACCUUGUGGUUUAAAUGACGUGCCGUUUGCCCUAUAUGGCUUAUUUCAUCGACUCAUAUACCUUUCUAUUCGAUAGGGAAUGGGUUCUUUUUUUUGUAAGCCAAAAAGGGAUAGAUGGUACCAUAUGGAGUUUUUGAGUCUUUCAAGUACACUAUCAGCGCCCAGAAUUCUUUAGUGAAUAAUUUCUUUGUUGCCUACAUUAAAAUCUUUGGCUCAUACUUUUAAUGAUUUUAGACAUGUUGAGACUGAAAUAUCAAACGUAACUGCACGAUCAGUACUUGUGUCAGUUUAUAUUUUUGAACUAUGCUGCUUAUCAGUAGAGAUUGAAACCCCAUAGAGAGAAUAAUGAAUCAGACUAGAAAAUUUUAGUUCUGAUUUCGAAAUGGCUGUAGAUUGUUGUUAGAGACAAAUGAAAUUUUUGGAAUGAAAUGGCUGUUGAUUGCUGUUUUUUUUUUCAAAUUUGUUUGAAGACUCAUAAUUGUUGUGUCUACGUUUUACAUUGUAUGUUAGAAACUGAAGGUCUUAGAGUGUUCUGUCUACCUCUCUGUUUUGGUUCUGGUUUAAGCAAUAUUACCAUAAUCUUUUAUGUUGAUGGAAUUUGAAAUUUAAAAAAAGAGAAAAUAAAAUGAAAUUAGUUAGCAGCUGUUUCUCCAUGGUUGUUUCAUGCUUGAAGGGUAGUCAUAUGGAGUUCUGUAUGGUGGCUCUUUAUUCUCUCAUUUGGGUUUUGAUAUCUCAUGGUAAACGGCAUAAUGCAGAAACAUAAAUUUAGCUCGUAGACUGCUUGUUAAUGUAUUUUUUUCGGUAUUUAUAAUAUCAAGACAAUUAACAAAAGCCAGUGAAAUAUGAAUUAAGGAAUAUAGUGUUGGCAACUAGUAAAAGAUUGACUAGAUUUUAUGGCCGCAGAUAGUGGAGGUGCUCGAAUCACAAAGCUCCGAUGGUUUAAAUACUGUACCAUCUGCCUUUCAUGGCUUGUUUUAUCUACUCGUAAAUCUAUCCAUUUGGUGGGUUAAUGGGUACUUUUUUUCGUAAGCUGCAAAGGGGUAGAAGGUAUAUUUUUAAACCAAAUGGAGCUUUUGAGUCCCGCAACUAGACUAUCCAGGGCUGAAAAGUUAACUUAAUACUUAUUGCUUACUUUUAACACUUUGAUUAGUUUUACUAACGCUAAUAAUUUUUAGUUUGAAGUAUGGAGAACUUUAGAUUUUCUGUUGCAUGGUCUGUUCUCACUGUUGAAUUGUACAAUUUGUCUUUUCUUGCUUUAUUUUUGCAUCAGCUGUCUUUUGUUCUGCUUAGUACACUUGUGAAAGACAUGUAGCUUGAUUACAAUAGUGCCGCCCAGGCAUGUUCUGUAGUAAUUUGUCUUGUGAAUGGUGGUAUUCCUUUGUCAUAUUGCAUUUGAUAUUUAACUGAUCUUGGUGAUUAUAUGGGGAUUCUAGAAAAAAAAAAGGAAGAGAUUUGUUUGAGUAGCUAAAGACUUAGAAUGGAUUGCUAAUAAUUUCUUUAGUUGUUAACUGGCAACAAAACUGUUGCUGCUUUCAUUUAGGCUUUGAACUUUUGCUUGUGACAAUCCACAUGAGCCACUUUUGGUUUCACUGUAUAUCAUCUGCCCAAUUGUUGGGUAAAAAGUAUACUUUUGGUUUCGCUUUUGGUUUUACCCAAUUGUUGGGUAAAAAGUAUAUGUUUGCCAGUCAACAGUAUCUCUACUUGUUUCUAGCUUCCCUCUUUUGUCAAUGAGGAAUUCCUGAAUGAAAUCCUACUACCAUUCUUAAAUGAAUAGGCCUCUCUUUUCCCUCCAGGUUUCCUUUCAGAUGAGACAACAGAUUCUAGCUUUGUUGCUGAUUUCUCCAUUUGCUCCUACUUUUUCCUUGCAGGAAAUUACUUUAACAAACUUGUUUCCUUCCCUUUUCCUUUUCUUUUAUCUUUUUUUUUGGAAUCCUUGGUUUCUUCACUGUUAUACUUUCAAUUCUGUUCAUCUGAUGCCCAUUUGUUCUUCAUACUUAAAUAGGAGUCAAUCUGGGUAUACCCUCUUGCUGAAAAGUGUAAUUUCAUAGUAUAGUUGUAUAUGCAUGGUUGUCUUCUACUUCAAGGUAGGAGUUGGGCUUCUUAUGGUUUUGUUUUUUGUCCUGCUUUUCCUUCUUGUAUUUGAUUGUCCAUGCUCAAUAAAUACAUGUUAGAAAUUGAAAUAGAAAGAUAUACUCCUCGGAGGACCUGAUUUUUGAACUCUUCUUGUAGGUUUAGAAUUUAUUUUACCCAUUUUUCUAUAUAUCCAUAUAUCUUUCUGGUUAUUGUGAAAUCAUUUAAAGAAGAAGAAAAAAAAAAGAAACUUCCAGACCUCUUAAUAUGGACAUAGGUGAUUUAUUAUUCAUUAACUGGCAAAUAGGAUGAACAGUUAUUACUAUUAAGUUCUGCAAUUUCGACUUUCAAAUACCUGCACGAUCUGUUCUCUCCUAUAGGAGUUCUUAUUUCUUAGAAUUCCUUUACAACUCGAAUUCAGAAGAUACAUUGGAGGCAAAAAAGUAUCAUGAUAUAACUGAUGCUUCGAUAUGACUUAGCAAUUCUCUAUGCUGUUCAUUUGGACUAUUGGACAUUGUUGUGCUUUCUUUGACAUAGCUUCUGAAAGUCAUAUCUCAGGGAAGAACUUUCAGCUUCCUGACAGCCCAGAGUGAUGGGCCUUUCUAUCCAUCAUGACUUGUCUUCUACUCUGAUUUUCCUCUUCAAUUUUCUUCAAAAUUUUUCAUGGACUAAUUACUCUUCCCAAGACCCUGUCUUUUGGUUUAAUGUCUUAGGUAAAGCCCCCCUAUUUAGUAGGUGAUAUCCAAUUUUCCCAUUUAUGGCUUAUCUUCUUGUAAACCUUUGAGUAUUUCCUAGAGACAUAAUGGAAUAGAAUAGCAUAUCACAAGCACUUUUGUACCCCUACAAAGAUUUCAUAUCCAUAUCAGUAGGCCAAAAAUUCACAAAGUGGUAUACAAAGGCUGUGAGUUGACCUAUGAAGUCCCUCCAAUCCUCUAAACACGUAUGAAUGAACUCCUGAGAUUAAAACAACAUCAACUUCAAAUUUGCAUUCUUGAUUCUUUGAAUUUAAAUUUUGGCUCUAUCAAAAGCCCUUCAGUUUAUUACUAUCCGUUGCACCUUCUUAAGUGCAAGAGGAGCCAAUUGUGCAUGCCUAUCUCCUUUUUUCUGAAAAUUGAAAUCUAGUGAUUUUUUUGGCGCACACUACUAUAGGCAUCACCCACUUAAUUCCAGUAAUUUCAUUAGUCUAUAUCAACAAUCUGCAGCCAUCUCCCAAUUAGAUUUCAAAUUGUCUAAUGUUAUUUUUUGUUGUCUUCGCUGGGUUUCAGCCUUUAAUGUUAUGUGGCGUAAUUCAAAAACAUAAACUGAUCUCAUGGACUGAUUGUUGCACUUUGUUUCAUAUUUCAAUGUCAAAAUGAUUAAAAUCAAUACAAGUAUUAAUCAAAGCAUUUAAAGCAGGCUGCAUGUAAUUAUUUACUAAACAUUUUGGCCUCAUAUAGCGUAGUUGCUUGACUCAAAACACCUUGUGGUUUAAAUGACGUGCCGUUUGCCCUAUAUGGCUUAUUUCAUCUACUCAUAUACCCUUCUAUUAGAUAGGGAAUGGGUUCUUUUUUUGUAAGCCGAAAAGGGAUAGAUGGUACCAUAUGGAGUUUUUGAGUCUUUCAAAUACACUAUCAGCGGCUAGAAUUCUUUAGUGAAUAAUUUCUUUGUUGCCUACGUUAAAAUCUUUGGCUAAUAAAUUUAAUGAUUUUAGACAUUUUGAGACUGAAAUAUGAAAGCUAACUGCCCAAUUAGUACUUGUGUCAGUUUAUAUUUUUAAACUAUGCUGCUUAUCAGUAGAGAUUGAAACCCCACAGAGAGAAUAAUGAAUCACAGUAGAAAAUUUUAGUUUUGAUUUAGAAAUGGCUGUAGAUUAUUGUCAGAUACAAAUGAACUUUUCAGAAUGAAAUGGGUAAUGCCUAGAGUAGUGAGGGCCUAAGAUGGCUGGAUUUUAAUUUCUAGAAAAGAGGAGAUAGGUGCGCAUUUGACUUCUCUAGAAAUGAUAGUGCCAUGGAUACAGACAAAGGCUUUCAUUAGAGCGAAAGUUACAAUUUUAAGAAUCAACAACGCAAUUUUGUUUUUGAUAUUAUUUGGGUCUAAAGAGUUUGCUCUUGUGUGUUCCAUUUCUUGGAAGGAUUUCGCUGGUCAACUAGACAGGGCUUUGAAUACCUCUUAGGUGAGGAUGUUGUAGUAUAGUGUUUAAGUUGAAUAUGCAUGAGGAACUAAGUAACGCAUCAUUUUGGAUUUCUGAGAUGUUUAUGGCCUUUGUCUUGUCUAGAUGAGUUACUUUGAAUAUAUCUGUGGAUUUGUUACAAUUUUGAGGUUUGUGGUCAAAUAAAUGGUUAAGAAAUAAAUUUUAAUUAGAAACUCUGAAACUCAGGUUUUAGAAAUUGCAGACAUUUGCAAGAAAGCAUAUUGUGCUUUGAUUCAAGUGGAGGAUGUUUUUGACCAUUCCACAAGGUUUCUGGUUAAGAGUGCUCAGAAUAUACUAGGUUAGAAAGAAGUUAGGUAGAUUUGUAGAGUUUUGCCCUUUCAUGCAAAUAUAGGAUUCUAAUUAGGGUAUCAAUCGGAUAUUCAAAUGGAGAAAGAAGGAACAAAGUAUAUCUGCAUGUUGUUAGAUUCUAAUUAGUGUAUGUGGGUUACUUAAGAGUUUAAUUGUGGGUUGUUGAAUAUUUGGAGUAUUGCCAAUUAAUUUUAUGAUAAAUGAGCUAUGUUCUGGUCAAACAAAUGGUGAAAAGAAAAAAGGCAUAUAGAACAGAAAGUUAGGUUUAAGAAAUCCCAUGAAUUGCAAGUCAGCAAGGUUCAUUUGGAGCCUUUUUUAACCAUUCUACAAGGCUUAAGGGAAUGAUUAACCAAAUAAUACUAGGUUUAAGAAAUCCCAAGAAUUGCAAGUCAGCAAGGUUCAUUUGGAGUCUUUUUUAGCCAUUCUACAAGGCUUAAGGCAAUGAUUAACCAAAUAAUAUUAGGUUUGUUUAGAGGUUUGUUGAUGCUGCACAAAGAUUGGUUCCUUAGUAGGCAAUUAGAGGACUUGUACACAAGGACGCAUUGCAUUUUGGAUUCUAUCUAAUUUAGGUGAAUUACUUGGGAUUUAUCUGUGGGUUUGUUUUCACAAAUUUUGAGCAUUGUUAAUGAUUUUAUGGUAAAUAAGUAGCACUGGGGUGAAGAAAACAGAGAAAGUUAAAAUGGUAUAGGGGAUCUGAGACUCUACUUCUAGAAAUUUCAGAGAUUUGGAAAAAAACCAUAUUCCAUCAAGGUCCAUUUAGAGGUUGAUUUUGACCAUUCUUCAAGGUUUAAGGCAAAAGUAACUAGACAUACUAGCCUUAGUAAGAAGUUAGGUGAAUUGUGUAGACUUGUCCUUUGCAAGCAUUUACAGGAUUUUCAUGCACUGAUGUUGCACUUUAGCAUUUGAUUUGAGUAUGGAAAUGAACGAUGGGCUGAAAAUAGUAUAUGCAUGUUUUCUUGGAUGUUGAUAUUUUGUUGGACUAAUUAAUCUAGAUGGGUUACUUGGAAUCUGUUUGGGUUUAUUAAAAAUCUUCAAUAUUGUUAAUGAAUUUUAUUUAUGGUGAUAAGUACUGUUCUGGAGAAAAGAAAAUAGGUGAAUUAGAAACUAAAAUUUAGGUUUUAGAAAUCCCAACAAUUACAAGAAAGCAUUUGCAGGAAGGUUCAUUUGGAGGUUGUAUUUUCAUCAUUAAACAGGGCUUAAGGCAGAGAGUUACCAGUUUGUACUGGGUUUGCUGCUAAGGAAACGAUUAUGCUUAGAAAUUAGCUGGCUUUGUACCGAGUUUGGUUCCUUUGCAGAUGAGUUGCUUGGGAUUUAAAUUGAAAAUCCAGAUGGUGACACAAGGAACUAAGUAUUGCAUCUUCUUGAUUCUAUCUAAUUUAGAUGAGUUACUUGGGAUUUAUCUGGGGGUGUGUGACUAAUUUUUAAGUGUUGUCAAUGAUAUUAUGGUAAGUAAUUUUGUGGUGGAAUUAGUGGAGAAAAUGAUGAUGGUAUUUGAACAAAAAGAAAAACUGAAUUGUUCUGUCAUAUCUUUUGUUUUGGACUCUGUACAACAUUUAUACAAAUGGAAUUUGACUUUUGUCAAUUCCAUGAAAUCUGUAAUUUCCUAAAAAUUAGGAGCUAAUUUAUUCUAUCCUAAAAUACAUUAGGAGUAAAUUAUUCUAUCCUAAAAUAGAGCAAAAAUCAUGGGAUAUAGCAGAAAUCAUGGGAUAUACAUAGAAAAAGAUAUUCUAGAUUUUCAACACUCCCCCUCAAGAUGGUGAAUAGAUAUUUUCCAUUCCCAUCUUGCAUGUAAUGUCUUCAAAGUUGGAAGUUGGCAUUCCCUUAGUUAAGACAUCUGCCAAUUGAUUAUUUGAUGCUACAUAUGGAGUGCAAAUCAUGCCACUGUCCAGCUUUUCUUUAAUAAAAUGUCUAUCAACUUCGAUGUGCUUUGUGCGAUCAUGUUGCACUGGAUUGUGUGCAAUGUUGAUGGCAGACUUGUUGUCGCAAUAGAGUUUCAUAGGUCUUCCCACUUGAUUUUAAGAUCAUCAAGUAUUAUUUUGAGCCAUAGCAAUUCACAAACUCCAUGAGCCAUAGCUCUAAACUCUGCUUCCGCACUUGAUCUUGCAAUAACCGAUUGCUUCUUACUCCUCCAUGUCACUAGGUUCCCACCAAGAAAUGUACAAUAUCCUGAAGUUGAUCUACGAUCUACAACAAAACCUGCAUAAUCAGCAUCAGUAUAUGCCUCUAUGAGCAAUCCUUCAUUUUUCUUGAACAAAAUUCCUCUACCCGGUGUCCCUUUGAGGUAGGAUAGAAUUCUAUUGACAGCCUGCAAGUGUUUCUCUCUUGGAUCAUGCAUAAAUUGGCUUACUAAACUUACAGCAAAUGCUAUGUCCGGCCUUGUAUGGGACAAAUAUAUCAGUUUCCCAACCAACCGCUGAUAUCUUCCCUUAUCUACUAUGCUAUCAUCCUUCUCUUCAUUCAAUCUCAAGUUAGGCUCAUGGGUGUGCUUGCUACCUUGCAUCCAAGAUUGCCUGUUUCUUUAAGCAAGUCUAAGACAUACUUUUGUUGGGAAACAAAGAUGGCUUUACUUGAGUAUGCCACCUCAAUGCCUAAAAAAUACUUCAGCCUCCCUAGUUCUUUAAUUUCAAACUCCUUUGCUAAGCACUUUUUGAGUGUUUCUCUUUCAAUUGGAUCAUUCCCGGUGAUGAUGAUGUCAUCUACAUAUACAAGUAGAGCUGUAACACCUCCUUUUGAAUAUUUUAUGAACAAAGUAUGAUCUCCUUGACUUUGUUUGUAUUGCAUUGCUAGCAUCACUUUAGUAAAUCUUCCGAACCAAGCCCUUGGCGAUUGUUUUAAUCCAUAUAAAGCUUUCUUUAACCUGCACACUUUCUUUUCAAAAAACAUUUUAUUGAAAUCCGGUAGGGGUUCCAUGUACACCUCUUCUUCUAAAUCCCCAUGUAAGAAUGCAUUCUUAACAUCAAAUUGCUGUAAACACCAACCAAAGUUAGCGGCUAAAGACAAAAGAACACGCACAGUAUUCAUUUUUGCAACGGGUGCAAAGGUCUCUUGGUAAUCUAUCCCAUAUGUCUGUGUAUAUCCUUUUGCGACCAACCGAGCUUUAUGCCUUUCUAAUGAACCAUCAGCUCUAUAUUUCAAAGUAAACACCCAUUUACACCCCACUGUUUUCUUUCCUUUGGGCAGGUUUACAAUUUCCCAAGUCUUAUUUCUCUCUAGGGCAUUCAUUUCCUCUUUUAUAGCAUGUAACCAGUUCUUAUUAAGUGCCUCUUGUAGUGUUUGUGGGAUUGAAAUGGAGUUGAUGGUGGUAAGGAAAGUUUUAUGUUGUGGAGAGAGUCUAUGGAAAGACACGAAAUUUGAGAUUGGAUGCUUAGUGCAUUCUCGUGUUCCUUUUCGAACAGCAAUAGGCAGGUCUAAAUCAUUAAAUUCACAAGAAGCAGAGUCAGAUUGAACACACAAAGGAACAGAAUUUUCAGUACCUGAUUGUGGUUCAGAUUCUUGGAUUUGCACAGGUUCAGAAAUAUGAACUUUCUUCCUUGAGUAGACCUUGAGUGGUGUAGUUGGAUUUAAACCAGAUUUUCCCUCAGCUCCAAGAUCAGGGUCAAUUUCUUUACUGGCAUGUUCAACUUCAAAUUCAGGUUCAGGUUCACUGCUAGUAUGUUCUCCUUUAGAAUUUGGUGUAUGGUCAGGCUUGAAAGACUUUAAGUUUAGUGUAGGACUUUGAAGAUCAAAGAGAAAUUCCUUAUCUUCCCAAGAACUAUCCCCCUGGGGAUGAGGAUUGUUACUUUGAGAGUAAGGUUCAUUUUCAACAAAUGUGACAUCCAUGGAGGUAAAAAAAUUUUUUGAAGGAGGAUGAUAACACUUAUAUCCUUUCUUUGUGUUUGAGUAUCCCACAAAAAUACAUUUUAAAGCUCUUGGAUCAAGUUUCCCUCUUUGGUGUGCAUGAACAUGUACAAAAGCAACACAACCAAACACUUUUGGUGACAAUGUGCAAGAGACAUUAAAAUCAGGAUAAAAAACAGAAAGAGCAGCAAUGGGACUUUGAUUAUUUAGUACUUUUGAAGGUACUCUAUUUAUCAAAUGUGCAGCAGUUAAAACAGCCUCCCCCCAAAAAGUUUUUGGAACUUUAUGUUGAAACAAAAUUGCUCGAGUCACAUUGAGUAAAUGUCUAUUUUUUCGUUCAGCAAUCCCAUUUUGUUGGGGUGUAUCUACACAAGAUGACUCAUGUAUUAUACCCUCUUUUUGGAAAAAAGAUGAGAGAAUUUGAUUAAAAUAGUCUCUUGCAUUAUCAGAUCUUACUCUUUUAAUCAAACUUCCAAAUUGUGUACAAAUCAUUUUAUGAAACAUUGGAAAAAUAUUGCUUACUUCUGAUUUUUCUUUCAUAAGAAAUAACCAAGUAGUUCUAGUACAAUCAUCAAUGAAUGUGACAAACCAUUUUGCUCCAGAAAUACUAGAAAUUCUACAAGGCCCCCAAAUAUCAGUAUGUAUCAAAGAGAAAGGUCUAGUAGAUCUUGUAUUACUCAAUGGAAAUGAUAGUCUAUGAUGCUUAGCAAUUUCACAUGUAUCACAAUGAAAACUACUAACAUCUUCAUUCUUGCAAAAGUGAAGGAAACAUGCUUUUAAGUAGAAUAAAAGAUGGAUGACCAAGACGGAAAUGAUGAAGCCAAAUUUCAGAUUUAUUAUUUGAGGAGCAGGUGAGGGAUAACUGAUUUUUGUUCUCCUUGUUGCCACUCAUCUCCUCAAGGUAAUAAAGCCCAUCAUUCACCUUAGCAAGUCCAAUCGUCCUCCCCAUAACCAAAUCCUGAAAAACACAGUGAGUAGAAUAGAAAAUUACUCUACAGUUCAGAUCUUUGGUAAUUUGAUGGAUGGAUAUGAGAUUGGAGGACAACUUUGGGACAUGUAACACAUUAUUUAGGGACAAAGAAUUUGAUAGAUUUACUGUCCCUUGGCCUGCAACAGUUAUAGGAGAUCCAUCCGCAACAGUAAUUUUUCUAUUUUCAGGACAUGGGUUGUAUGUUCUAAAUCUGAUUGGGUUGUGAGUCAUAUGGUCAGUAGCUCCUGAGUCGAUGACCCAAGAGCCUAGAGAAGACAUGCUUGAGGCACUUAAAGCAUAAGAGUUAAGGUACUUACCUGAUUGAGCCAAUGAACACGUACUAGAGGACUUUUCAAGGGAAUUUUGGAGGUUUCUUAGCUUUUCGAUUUCUUCUUUCUUGAAUUCUCCCAUACCAGCUUGGUUGGAUUUUUCUUGUGUUUGGUCUUCUCCAGCAGUUAAGUGGGCUUUUCCCCCUUUGAAUCCUCCUUUACGACUAAGGACUUGUUCCUUUCCAUGGAGUUUGAAGCAAUCAUCUCGCGUAUGGCGUGAUUUUUUGCAGUACGUGCACCAAAUUGUGUCUUUAUUUGACUUUGUAGAAAUCAUUGCUGAGCCUUCUAAUGUUUUAGGCUCUAACAUGACUUCUCGUCUAUUCUCUUCAGCUCGAAUCAAUGAUAUUGUCUCAUUCAGAGAUGAUAAUCUUUCCUUCCCCAAUAUCUGGACUCUGACCUGAUCAAAUUUCACAUUCAGACCUGCAAGGAAGUCAUAAACUUUAUCCUUUUCGAUAAAGUUUUUCAAGGUGGCUGCAUCUUCACUACACACAAUCUGAACACACCGAUAUUGGUCCAGUUCCUGCCAUAGAUUUUGCAGAAGGUUGGCAUAUUGAGUAACAGAAAGGUUGCCCUGUUUAGUGGCUGAGAUCUUUGUUUUGAUCUCAUAGAUUAGGGCAGCAUCUCCUGCCUUUGAAUAGGUCUGUCGAAUAGUAGUCCAUAUAUCUUGAGCUGUUGGUAGGAACAUGCAAGUAUCACUUAUUUCAGGUAACAUGGAGUUCCACAGCCAUGACAUGACCAUAGAAUCCUCUUCAUCCCAAGCAGCGAAUUUAGGAUCUCCCUUUUUCGGUCCAGUUCCAAGCAAGUGGCUGAUUUUGCCCUUUCCUUUGAGAAAUGUUUGAACAAAUUGUGACCACUUCAAAUAGUUUUUCCCGUUGAGCCUGUAGGCUGCCUGGAUACUCUGCAAAUCCCCUGUUUGUGGAAUAUUUGAGGUCUCUUCUGAUUUGGUAUUGGAGUGGAUUUCUGAUGUUUCAGUUUCAGACAUCGUGGAGGUUUCAAAGAAAAAUUGGCAAUGAAGGCCUAAUGAAAAAAAAUCAGCAAUGAAGGCUGGAAAUUGCACUUGGCAAUAAAGACUUGAAAAGAGGAAAGCACUCAGCAAUGAAGGCUGACAAGAAGAGGUCCGAAGAGCAAAAGCUCUGAUACCAUGAACAAAAAGAAAAACUGAAUUGUUCUGUCAUAUCUUUUGUUCUGGACUCUGUACAACAUUUAUACAAAUGGAAUUUGACUUUUGUCAAUUCCAUGAAAUCUGUAAUUUCCUAAAAAUUAGGAGCUAAUUUAUUCUAUCCUAAAAUACAUUAGGAGUAAAUUAUUCUAUCCUAAAAUAGAGCAGAAAUCAUGGGAUAUAGCAGAAAUCAUGGGAUAUACAUAGAAAAAGAUAUUCUAGAUUUUCAACAGUAUUCAAAUCUGAGUCUCAGCUUCUAGAAAUUAUAGAGAUUUACAAGAAAGCACAUUGUAACAGGGUCCAUUAGAGAUUGGUUUUGGCGAUUCUACAAGGUUUAAGCAAAGAGUACCGGUACAUGGUAGGCUUAGUAAGAAGUUAGGUGAAUUGUGUAGAACUUUGUCCUUUGCAUGCAAAUAUUGGACUCUUAUUUAACGACUUUGUACUUUAGCAUUUGAUUUGAAUAUUCUAAUGGACCACUAGUUGAAAAAAGUAUAUGCGCAUCUCAUUUGAUUCGGGGAUUUUGUUGGACUCUCUUUCUUUAAUCUUGGUGAGUCACUUGGAAUGUCUUUGGGUUUGUUAAAAAUCUGGAAUAUUGUCAAUAGAUUUCAGAUAAGUACUGUACAGGAGAAAAAAAGUUCAAUUAGAAACUCAACCUUUGGUUUCCCAAAUCCCAAAAAUUGCAAGAAAAAGGUAAUUUUUUUUUGGGGGGAGGGUUUGCCCAUACCAUUUUAUAAGGCUUAAGGCAAUGAUUAAAUAGAACAUAGUAAGUUUGGUUAGAAGUUUGCUAGCGUUGUUACAAGGAUUAAGGCUGUGAUCAAAUAGUGCUUAGUGCAGAGUUUUCUCACCAUUUUACAAGGAUUAAGGCAAUGAUCAAAUAGAACAGAUAAAGUUUAGUAAGAAGUUUGCUAGUGUUGUGCAGAGUUUAGAUCCUUUGCAGGCGAUUAGAGGACUGAUAUACAAGGACAUUGCACUUCAGGAUUUAUAUUGAACGUCUAGAUGGUGACUGAGGAACUAUGUAUUGCAUCUUUAGGGAUUCUAUCCAAGUUUCUUGGGAUAUAUAUGUGGGUUUGUUACAAGUUUUGAGUAUUGGCAAUGAUUUUAUGGUUGAUAAGUAGUACAGUGGUGAAAUAAAUAGAGCAAAUAAUUAUGGCAUUUCGAAUAGAAAUUUCAGAGAUUACAAGAAAGCAUAUUGUACCAAGGUCCAUUUAGGAGAUUUUUUUUAACAAGGUUUUAGGCAAAGGGUAACCAGAACUUAGUAGGGUUAGUAAGAAGUUAGAUGAACCAUGCAGAGUUUUGUCCUUGGUCGGCAAAUAUAGGACUCAUAUAGUCAUAUGCAAUGAUGUUAGCUUAAGCAUUUGAUUUGAGUAUUCAUAUAGGCGACAUGUGAAACAAAGUGUAUGGUGCAUCUUGUUGGAUUCCAAAAUUUUGUUGGACUCUAAUUGGUCUAGGUGAGUGACUUGGAAUCUAUUUGAAUUCAUCAAAAAUCUGGAAUACUGUCAAGGAAUUUUAUGGUAGAUGAGUAGUCUACUGGAGAAAAGAAAAAUAGGUCAAUUAGAAACUGAAAGUUAAAGGUUUAGAAAUUUUAAAGAAUCACAAGAAAGCAUAUUGCAGCACGGUUCAUUUGGAGGUUGUCUUUUUACCAUUUUACAAGGCUUAAGAUAGUUUUUAGAACAUACUGAGUUUGAUUAUAAGUUUGCUGGUGUUGUGUAGAGUUUGGUCCUUUUACAAGCAAUUAGAGGACUUGCAGACAAGGAAACUACAUUUUAGGAUUUAACUUGAAUGUCCAGAUGGUGACAUGAGGAACUAGUAUUGCAUCUUUUUGGAUUCUAUGUAAUUUAGGUGAGUUACUUGGUAUUUAUCUGUGGGUUUGUACAAAUUUCGAGUAUUGUCAAUGACUUAUUGUUGAUAAGUAGUAUUGUGCUGGAAUUAACGGAUGAAAUAAAACUGGUAUUUCAAAUUUGGGACCCAGCUUCUAUAAAUGCUAGAGAUUUACAAUAGCAAGCUAUUCGAAGGUCCAUUUAGAGGUUGUUUUCAGAUUAAGGCAGUGAGCAAACCUCAACAUACUAGGCUUGGUAAAAACUUAGGUGAAUUGUGCAGAGUUUCAUCCUUUGCUGGCAUAUAUUGGACUCUCAUGCAUUGUUGUUGAAGUUUAGCAUUUGAUUUGAACAGUCAAAUGGGUGGAAGGUGGAAUAAAGUAUAUGCACAUCUUGUUGGACUCUAAUUAAUCGAAGUGAGUUACUUGGAAUCUAUUUGGGUUGUUAAAGACUUGAAAUAUUGUUAAAAACAUAGUAGUGUUCUGCAGGAAAGACGAAAAGGUCAAUUUGAAACUGAUAUUUAGGUUCUAGAUGUCCCAAGAAUUAGAAGAAAGCAUAUUGCAGCAAGGUUCUAUUAUAGGUUGUUUUUUAACAUUCUACGGCCUUUAUGGCAAAGUGUAACAAGAACAUACUAACUUUACUAAGUUGGUAGAUUUAUCUAGAGUUGAGUUCCUUUACGGCAAAUAUAGGACUCUUAUGUAAGGGCAUUGCACUUUUAGGGUUUAACUUGAAUAUUCAGAUGGUUUAUAUGUGCUUGUUGGAUUCUGAGAUUUAGUUGGAUUCUAUCUCAUGACGGCGAAUUACUUCUAUUUGGGUUGUUAAGUAUCUGGAAUAUUGUCAGUCUGUUUUAUGGUUGAUAAGUAGUGUUAUGGAGAAAAGAAAAAAAGGUCUACUAGAAACUGGCUUUUAGUUUUUAAAAUCCCAAGAAUUACCAGAAAGCAUAAAACACCCAAGAUUCAUUUGGAGGUUGUUUUUUACCAUUCUACAGGGUUUAUCGCAAUAAGUAACAAGAACAUACUAAUUUUAUUGAAAAGUCUGUUUGAUUGUGCAAAGCUUAGUUCCUUUGAUUGCAAAUAUAGGAUCCUUAUGUAAAUGCAUAGGAUUUUAGGAUUUAAAUUGAAUAUUCAGAUCAGGAUACUAGGAAUUAUGUAUUGCAUCUUUUUGGAUAUUGAGAUUAGGUUGGAUUGUGUGUAACGAAAAUGAGUUAUUUGGAAUUUAUUUGUGGGUUUGUUAUAAUGUUGGACUAUUGUCAAUAGUUUUAUGGUGGAUAAGUAGUGCUCUGGUGAAACAAAUGCAGAAAAGAAAGAAAUGUUAAUCAGAAACCGAAACUCAGGGUCUAGAUAAUUUGAAGAGUUAAAAGAAAGCAUAUUGCACCCCAUGGUUCAUUUGGAAGUUGUUUUUUGGACCAGUCUACAUGGUUUAAGGCAAAGAGUAAUAAGAAAUUAGUGGAACCGUGCAGAGUUUUGUUCCUUUGCAGGGAAAAAUUUCACUGUUGUCUAUGGAGGUCACAGUGUGGGGUUUGAAUUGACUAUUUAGAUGGUGACAAUAAGGAAGAAAAGUAUUUUGCAUCUUGUUGGAUUUUGGCAGUGUAUUAUGGAAUUAAAGUUAAUCUAGGUGAGUAAUCUGGAAUUUAUUUGUGGGCUUGUUACGAAUUUGGGAGAUUGUUUAACAAAAUUUUAUGUGAAAUAAGUGGUCUUCUGAUGAAAUAAAUUGGUGAUAAAAAGGGUGUCAUUAGAAACUGAUGCUAAGGUUUUAGAAAUUCUUUUUUUUUUUGUCAAAACGAUAAUGUAUUAUUAAAACUUGGUACUACAAAAGUUCUACAAAUGUGGGCAACUGCCCAUCAGAUCAUCUUGUGCCAUCUGUUUGAGCCACUGGGGACAGCUAAGCUUCCACAUUAUAUUCUUCACUAAUGUUGACGCAAAUUUUGCUACAUAAUGACCUAGACAAUUCCUUUUCCCACUAACAAACUUGAAAUUACAAACUGAAAACCAAUCUGCUAACUGAAUGAUGUCUUCCACUAUAGUUGUCACUGUGUGGUCCUCAAUUCUUCUUUCUUUUAUCAUGUUGACCACAUUUUUACAGUCAGAUUGCAAUUCAAUUUUCGUCUAUCCUGCAUCUUUUGCCAUCAGCUGAGCCUGUUUGAUUGCUGCAGCUUCUUCCACUAUUGCUCUUCCUUUCUUUAGUUCCUGCACUGCCCUCACUUCUACUAGUUCCCCUUUCCAGUUUCUUGCAACUAUCCCAAGUCCCGUUCUGAUCUUCUUUGCAGAAACAGCAGCAUCCUGUUAAUUCUUAUUGUAUCACACUAGAGAGGAGUCCAUCUUUGGUUCAUCAUUUGUUGUCUUGGUUGGUCCUCCAUUUUCUCCAGAUUCCCCUUGUUUACCUCUGUGUGUUCCAUCCAUUUUUUCUGAGCUCUCCUGAUGGUUGAGUUGCUGUCCAUUCUGUUGCCCUCGAACAUGAAUUUGUUUCUUGGUUUCCAUAUUUGCCAAUGUAUAUUGACUGUGAGUUCCAAGUGCCCCUCUCUAUUCUCCACUUUGCAUGCAUCUGUAAGACAUUCCCACCAUCUCUAAAAAUUAAACCUCAGAUCAUUCAAGCCUUCCCACUAUAAUGGUGCUAAUUUCCAUGUCUGUUGCGUAUUGGUGCAAGAAAAAAACGUGUUCAAGAGUUUCUACUUCCUCUCCACAACAUCUGCACAUAGGAUCACCCAUUUUUGUUCUAUGGAAUAUGCAUUUUUGAACCAGGAGUACUCUUGUAAGCAUUUCCAGAGAAAAUGUUUAUGCUUAUGUUUAAUGUUCAGGUUCCACAAACCUUUCCAAACUUUAUCCUUCCUAGGUCCAGUACUAGCCUCCUCAUGCUUUUCUUUUUCACACUGGAGUUUCUUCUUCCUCUGCUUAGCUAGAGCAUAGCCUGUUUUCACAGUAUACACCCCAGAUUUGGAAUGUCUCCAGUACAUCCGGUCCUUUCUUUGGAAGCAACUGAUAUGAAUUCUUUGUAUUUGCUCUACAUCUUCCUGACAGAAAGUUUCCUUCAGUAACUCCAUAUUCCACUUGCCACCUGAUAAAAGUUGAUCGACUGUUUUCACUCUACAAACUGUAGGUUUUCCGUUCUAACAUUGCCCUCUUCUGUAUUAGAUAGCCAAUUAUCAUUCCAUAUAAUCCACUGCAUUCCCGUCUCCAAUCCUCUUCAUUAUUCCUUUGGCUAGCAAUUCUCUUGCACUGGAUAUACUUUUCCAUACCCAACAAUCACUGUUCUUCACCUUGCUUUCAAAAAGGUUUCUAUCUCUCAAAUACCUGGCUCUGAUUACUUUGCUCAUCUGCAGGUUUGGUUGAAUUAAAAUCCUCCAACAUUGUUUGGCCAGGAGAGCUUCAUUAAAGUUUUCUAGGUCCCUGAACCCAAGUCCACCAUUUCUUUUAGUUUCAGUGAUCUUGUUCCAACUUACCCAGUGCAUUCUUUGUCCGUAUUCGCCAUUUCCCCACCAAAAAUUUGCAAUUCUUUUACAGAUCUCCUUGGAAGCUUGAAGCAUGAUGGUAUUCAAAUCUCAGUCUCAGCUUCUAGAAAUUAUAGAGAUUUACAAAAAAGCAUCAUUAGAGGUUGCUUUUGGUGAUUCUACAAGGUUUAAGCAAAGAGUACCAGUACAUACAAGGCUUAGAAGUUAGGUGAAUUGUGUAGAGCUUUGUCCUUUGCGUGCAAAUAUUGGACUCUCAUUUAAUGACUUUGUACUGUAGCAUUUGAUUUGAAUAUUGUAAUGGGCCACCAGUUGAAC